UCCCGUGUGGCUCAGUUGGUAGAGCAUGGUGUUUGCAACGCCAGGGAUGUGGGUUCGAUUCCCACAGGGGAC
RNAcentral lists this transfer RNA (72 nucleotides) under Salmo salar (Atlantic salmon). It matches the Rfam family "tRNA". Rfam says of the family: Transfer RNA (tRNA) molecules are approximately 80 nucleotides in length. Lineage: Eukaryota; Metazoa; Chordata; Actinopteri; Salmoniformes; Salmonidae. The record is from Rfam by way of RNAcentral.